GCGAGCUGGGCCGGCGGGUGUGGUUCGAGAGCGCGCGGAGUCCAGACUGGCGGCAGGGCCCGAGGGGCCGACCCGCAGCGUCCCUGGUCUCUCCAGCCCUCACUCGGAACCGCACACAGUGACAAUACCCUCCCCUCCCUUGGGCUGGACCCCUCUCUACAGCUAGGAGCCAAUGGCAGAAGACAAAACCAAACCGAGUGAGUUGGACCAAGGGAAGUAUGAUGCUGAUGACAACGUGAAGAUCAUCUGCCUGGGAGACAGCGCAGUGGGCAAAUCCAAACUCAUGGAGAGAUUUCUCAUGGAUGGCUUUCAGCCACAGCAGCUGUCCACGUACGCCCUGACCCUGUACAAGCACACAGCCAUGGUAGAUGGCAAGACCAUCCUUGUGGACUUUUGGGACACGGCAGGCCAGGAGCGGUUCCAGAGCAUGCAUGCCUCCUACUACCACAAGGCCCACGCCUGCAUCAUGGCCCUGCUUCAAUGCCACCACCUCCAUGCAGCCUCCUCUGAUGUUUGUCAUUAGCAUAGCUCUUUCGUGUGUGCUCCUGCACCACUGAUCCCUUCCACAACAUGGACUGUCUGUGAUGCACGUGUGCAGGAUGCUGGGAGUGCCCAGGUGGAAAGACACACGUGCUGCCCCCAGGAACUGACUGACUGGUAGGCACAGUACAGAUACCAGUGGUGAGGACAGUGAGGAUUCUUCCCUUCUGACCCUUUGCAGAUGGUAAAGGAAGGAACUCGUCACCUAAUUCCCCUGACUGCCCCUUGAGAACAAAAUCCCUUGAAAAAUUCCAAAAGCUUUAACUCUGAUAACUGUUAAGGUACUAAGCAAGAGGAUGAUGGGGCAAGGCAAAUGGGGGCAGUGUAGUGCAGAAGUCUGACCCUCAAGAGCAGAGGAGCUUGCUCCUAGCCAGUUUG
This 918-nucleotide small RNA is filed under the name Pan troglodytes (chimpanzee). Its description in RNAcentral is "processed transcript". Lineage: Eukaryota; Metazoa; Chordata; Mammalia; Primates; Hominidae. The record is from RNAcentral.